Molecule: long non-coding RNA, 1137 nt
Filed under: Olea europaea (common olive)
Lineage: Eukaryota; Viridiplantae; Streptophyta; Magnoliopsida; Lamiales; Oleaceae
Description: long non-coding RNA (OEUR_LNC003028)
Source: RNAcentral
AAAUAUAUCUCUGGACCCUUGUUUUUUUGGCUAUCUUGUGCCUUUGCUGUUUGUUCUCUUGCAUUCUUAGUGGAUAUAUGGUGCACUUACUGUAAGGAAAAUUAACUUAUUAAUUGAAACUCUUUAUUUUUCGUCCUUGUUUCAUUUCUUGGAAUUCUGAUUGUUAAGCAUGGUUGUGGGAGGAAGUAAACAAGUAAUUUUGAAUUGAAUAUAAAGUACAAGGUUCUGCUGAAAAUUAAUAUAAAAUAUUUACUGAGAAUGGGUAAUUAAUGAAACCAAAUCUUAGAAAUGCAAGCAUAUGUAAUCAAUCUUAUCAGUCUUCAUUCUCCUAAACAAGAUGCUCCAUGGCAGUCCAUGCACAGAGUUAUUGAACUGGUUCACAUUGAAAUGUGUAUCCCGCGUGUUCGUGUUAGUUCAAAAAAGAUUUCACGUUGACUUUAUAUCAUGCAGAGUCUGUAAAUCUUGAAAUUACCAUGUCUGAUACUUUCUUUUUAGGACAAUUAUCUGAUAAUUAAUACCAGUUCUCGUUCAACACUUUCAUUUUGUGCAGGAGUGCAUCAAGAAGUGGGUUGACACGCAGCACACAAUGAUAAAUAGUCCAAUUGCAGCAAUGUAAACCCGUGGGUCCGUUCUUCCUCACCAUUUUAUAUAAUUUAUCCCAUUUUUGUACAAUUGUAACAAGCAUGCCAAUGGCUCUUCCCUUGUAAAUCAGCAAGAAACCGUGGAUAUCGAAGCCGAGCUAACCUUUUGGCAAAAUUAUCGAGUGGAAGUUGUGACACUAUAGGUCGCUCGUUAGCAUGUCCUCCUCUUGUUUGCAGUCUAUAUUUGUAAUCUGCAGUUACAAUGAUUGUUAUUAUUGAGGUUUGUCGAUAGUUUUGUAAUCAGAUUAUUUUCAAUCAAGUCCUUGUUUAUCUGUGGUUAAUUCGACUCCGAUUCGAAACUGUUCACCGUUAAAACUUAAAAGUAGCUUGCUUUUGAAGAUAUUAGGAGUUAAAUUUAGAUAUUUGUCUGGUUGAAGCCUGAAGGAAUGUAUUUCUUGGUUUCAAUUCUGGUUCUCUGCACGUGACGGAUAAACUCGAGGCCUUGUCCUUUCGAUAUGCACUGUGUGUGUGUAGUGGAGAAGGGACCCUGAAGGGU